GUAGUCCUACGGGGCGCAGCAGCCGAGAAUCAUUCACAAUGGGGGAAACCCUGAUGGUGCGACGCCGCGUGGGGGAAUGAAGGUCUUCGGAUUGUAAACCCCUGUCAUGUGGGAGCAAAUUAAAAAGAUAGUACCACAAGAGGAAGAGACGGCUAACUCUGUGCCAGCAGCCGCGGUAAUACAGAGGUCUCAAGCGUUGUUCGGAAUCACUGGGCGUAAAGCGUGCGUAGGCUGUUUCGUAAGUCGUAUGUGAAAGGCGCGGGCUCAACCCGCGGACGGCACAUGUAACUGCGAGUCUAGAGUAA
Molecule: ribosomal RNA, 305 nt
Filed under: uncultured bacterium
Lineage: Bacteria
Description: bacterial SSU rRNA
Rfam family: Bacterial small subunit ribosomal RNA
Source: RNAcentral